AUUGAACGCUGGCGGCAGGCCUAACACAUGCAAGUCGGGCGAGUGGCGGACGGGUGAGUAAUGUCUGGGGAACUGCCCGAUGGAGGGGGCUAACUACUGGAAACGGUAGCUAAUCCCGCAUACCAUCAGAUGUGCCCAUAUGGGAUUAGCUUGUAGGUGGGGUAAUGGCUCACCUAGGCGACGAUCCCUAGCUGGUCUGAGAGGAUGACCAGCCACACUGGGACUGAGACACGGCCCAGACUCCUACGGGAGGCAGCAGUGGGGAAUAUUGCACAAUGGGCGCAAGCCUGAUGCAGCCAUGCCGCGUGUAUGAAGAAGGCCUUCGGGUUGUAAAGUACUUUCAGUCGGGAGGCGGUACCGACAGAAGAAGCACCGGCUAACUCCGUGCCAGCAGCCGCGGUAAUAC
RNAcentral lists this ribosomal RNA (406 nucleotides) under uncultured bacterium. RNAcentral describes it as "partial 16S ribosomal RNA". It matches the Rfam family "Bacterial small subunit ribosomal RNA", at positions 30 to 526 of the family's 1533-position model. The record is from RNAcentral.